RNAcentral lists this ribosomal RNA (425 nucleotides) under uncultured bacterium. RNAcentral describes it as "partial 16S ribosomal RNA". It matches the Rfam family "Bacterial small subunit ribosomal RNA", at positions 354 to 796 of the family's 1533-position model. The record is from RNAcentral.
GUGGGGAAUCUUGCGCAAUGGGCGAAAGCCUGACGCAGCCAUGCCGCGUGAAUGAUGAAGGUCUUAGGAUUGUAAAAUUCUUUCACCGGGGACGAUAAUGACGGUACCCGGAGAAGAAGCCCCGGCUAACUUCGUGCCAGCAGCCGCGGUAAUACGAAGGGGGCUAGCGUUGCUCGGAAUUACUGGGCGUAAAGGGCGCGUAGGCGGACAGUUUAGUCAGAGGUGAAAGCCCAGGGCUCAACCUUGGAAUUGCCUUUGAUACUGGCUGUCUUGAGUACGGGAGAGGUGAGUGGAACUCCGGGUGUAGAGGUGAAAUUCGUAGAUAUUCGGAAGAACACCAGUGGCGAAGGCGACUCACUGGCCCGUUACUGACGCUGAGGCGCGAAAGCGUGGGGAGCAAACAGGAUUAGAAACCCGAGUAGUCC